AUGAACGCUGGCGGCGUGCCUAAUACAUGCAAGUCGAGCGAACAGAUAAGGAGCUUGCUCCUUUGACGUUAGCGGCGGACGGGUGAGUAACACGUGGGUAACCUACCUAUAAGACUGGGAUAACUUCGGGAAACCGGAGCUAAUACCGGAUAACAUUUGGAACCGCAUGGUUCUAAAGUGAAAGAUGGUUUUGCUAUCACUUAUAGAUGGACCCGCGCCGUAUUAGCUAGUUGGUAAGGUAACGGCUUACCAAGGCAACGAUACGUAGCCGACCUGAGAGGGUGAUCGGCCACACUGGAACUGAGACACGGUCCAGACUCCUACGGGAGGCAGCAGUAGGGAAUCUUCCGCAAUGGGCGAAAGCCUGACGGGGCAACGCCGCGUGAGUGAUGAAGGGUUUCGGCUCGUAAAACUCUGUUAUUAGGGAAGAACAAACGUGUAAGUAACUGUGCACGUCUUGACGGUACCUAAUCAGAAAGCCACGGCUAACUACGUG
RNAcentral lists this ribosomal RNA (496 nucleotides) under uncultured bacterium. RNAcentral describes it as "partial 16S ribosomal RNA". It matches the Rfam family "Bacterial small subunit ribosomal RNA", at positions 29 to 507 of the family's 1533-position model. The record is from RNAcentral.